RNAcentral lists this transfer RNA (91 nucleotides) under Ephemerocybe angulata. RNAcentral's name for it is "Coprinellus angulatus tRNA". It matches the Rfam family "tRNA". Rfam says of the family: Transfer RNA (tRNA) molecules are approximately 80 nucleotides in length. Their secondary structure includes four short double-helical elements and three loops (D, anti-codon, and T loops). The record is from Rfam by way of RNAcentral. Lineage: Eukaryota; Fungi; Basidiomycota; Agaricomycetes; Agaricales; Psathyrellaceae.
GCAUUAAUGGGGUAGUGGUAACCUGGGUCGUUGCCAUGCAAGCGAUCGAGCAACGCUCGACCCGCCGGGGGUUCGAUUCCCUCUUAAUGCA